AUCACAAUACAAUAAAUCUGGA
RNAcentral lists this microRNA (22 nucleotides) under Oryza sativa (Asian cultivated rice). Its description in RNAcentral is "osa-miR443". Its record names the gene osa-miR443. The record is from miRBase by way of RNAcentral. Lineage: Eukaryota; Viridiplantae; Streptophyta; Magnoliopsida; Poales; Poaceae.